Molecule: long non-coding RNA, 2609 nt
Filed under: Fukomys damarensis (Damara mole-rat)
Lineage: Eukaryota; Metazoa; Chordata; Mammalia; Rodentia; Bathyergidae
Description: lncRNA (ENSFDAG00000022849.1)
Source: RNAcentral
AUCCACGAAGGAACUUCUGGUCUUGAUUUGCUUUCUCAUGUGAGUAGCAGCACCCAGAUGCUGCCGUUUGUACGAUCAAGAAGCAAAUGUGCCUAUGGGAGGGGCACUGGGCGAGGCACUGGAAGACCCAGCUUCCCGUCUGGAUCAGCCACUUGCUGGACAACAGAGGUAUUUACCUGUGCUGGGCAACAGAGUGGGAGCUAAGAAUGGCCGGGAGUACAGCGAGGAGCAGAGGAGACCAUGGCAUUUAUAGUCACCAAACCCUGAGCGCUCACUGCGUUUCCUGCCAUUCUAAUACAAUCUAGGAAGCACUUUUGAAUUGAAGAUUGUGGUGUUCCUAUGAGUUUGGACCACGUGAGCCAGUUUUGCUACACUCAGGCUGAAUACUCGGAUUCCAGAGCUGGGGCCCCAAACCCUGUGUGGCAGAGAACAGACGCCCCUGUCCUCCCUCUCAGGCCUCACCUGGCUUUUGGCCUCCCUCUUCCCACGAUCACAUGAACAGCAGGUCUGUUCAGAGUUGCUCCUGAAUGCGAAAGCCAGCAAAGGCCAAGAGGCCACACUGAAGCCCCUGAGAAUCUCUGCAGAGCCGGGUCCCUACGAAGCCAGUUGUUUGCAGCAGUGGGGUGUUGGGAAGGCUCCGGACUCCACGGGAGGAGAAACGUUUCUGUGCAGUAAAGAAGGCGAUGAAAGGUAAGGGGAUACUAACAAUAAAUCCAGGGCUCAGUUCAGUGGUGUGUUUGUGUUCGCCUUCAGUCCAGGGCCGCCCUGGCCUUUUCCAGCCCAGGUCUGUCCCGGUCUGUCCACUUGCUCUGCACAAAGCCACCUGUGUUUUGGUGUUACAAGGGUCUCCCUGAUUCUGUGCUCCGGGAGAUGCUCUGCCCCUUCUGCCUCCCGAGGCCAUUGUGGAAGAACAUCAAGGAGCACAGACAAAGCGAGGACCCCAGUGUGGGACGCAGGCUGGCUGACACACGCCAGCAGAGGUGUCGGCACGCUGGAGGACCCGAGGGAGGGGACCCCGAACUCCAGGAGCAGCUGGUCCUUCCUCAGCAGUGCCCCUGCGGUGCUCAGAAGAGCCCCAGUGAGAACCUGCUUGUCCUGGAGGAGAGGGAAUUGAAAAGACACCUCACCCCGAGGACUCCCGGCUUGUGGUGGAAAAUUCUCUCUGAAACCGGAAGCAGCUAUAGAAUCAGCAGCAGAGCCUCCAGAAGCACCGAGUCCAGUGGUUACCAGAUGAAGCUCCCAUCUUGUACUACAUCUUGAAAGCACAGACAUUCCACUGUGGCAGCACCAUUAGUUGCAAAAGACUCCCUGUUGUCUUCAAAAGUGAAUCGACUGUGUUCGUGUGUUUGGUGCUGGAGCCUUCUUGUGCUUAACAUCUCUUCUAGCAUACUCUCUGUCUCUCGAAAUAAAUGCUUUCCCCAGGACCAACAGCACACCAGAUGUGGCCCAGUGCCCCUUAGUACCUGAGAAGCUAAAAAAAAAAAAAAAAAAAAAAAAAAAAAACCNNNNNNNNNNNNNNNNNNNNNNNNNUAGGUUAGAACCAACUGUGACACAAUGGCCGUGUGACUUUUGUGCUUGGGACUUUUUGACCUUGAAGAAAGGCAGGUGAGGCUCAGUGUUCCACGAAGGCCAAGGAAGGAGCUGCUGGAGGAGGACCUGGGUUUGCGCCCUCAGUCUCCAGAUGUUUGCAUAAUUCCUUCUCUCUCAUUUUACAGUGAAAAGACAAUCUGAAGGGAGGGCAGGCUGUGUGAGAACGGGUGUGCUCUGGGGUUAUAAGCUCUUUGAUAGAAAGCCCAUCUUCUCUUGUAAAAAAUAAAUCCCUUCCCUCUACAGUAAGCAAGCAAUAAACGGAUCCUCAGCAUCUCUUGUUUACUUCCUGCUGCUUUGAGUCAAACAGGUAAAUUGCACAGAAAAUGUGUUUUAAGCCCGGGUCCCCAUUACAUUCCUUCGGUUUUCUUUUACCAAAAAGGCUAUUCUUUUACAAUUUUGGAACACGAAGCAUGCCAAGUGGUGUCGUUCUGUUGUUCAGGUGCUUUCCACCCAUGCCACUCAUUUCUGAUCUGUCUGUUGCAGCCUUCAAACGACCACCUGUUAGGUUGGGAAGGACCUGUGCCUGGAGCCGUGCAAGUCACCUGGGAAAGGUUUGGGGAGUUUACUUUCCAGCUUGGAGAUUUCAUCUUCUGGGUAGACUCAGCUCUGCCUUCAAGAAAUGUCUUCCACAUCAACGGACAACAAACCUUCAUUCCUGCUAAAAUCUCUGGAAGGCUUAUCCUGUGAUAAUACUUUCAUGUUCCUGGCCAGUCUUGCUUUCUUUUUCUUUAUAAAUCAUUCACACAUCUCAAGUCCAAAUACUGACAUGGGACAGUAUGUGAUUAACCUCUCUCCAUUCCAAGAAGUGGCUAGCAUCAGUGAUUCUGCCUUCCAAAAUAGUUUAACCAGUUUUUAAUACACCAAAAAGACUUCUGUCCAGAGCCCUCUGGUCAUCUAUUUUCCUUAAUGGCCUUUUAUGAGGGACCUUAUCAAAAGCCUGCAAUGAAAUCCAAGUAAAUUAUGUUCCUUGGUUCACCUUUACCUACUAUUUCAUUAACUUUUUCAAAAACAAUAUGACA